This 547-nucleotide ribosomal RNA is filed under the name uncultured bacterium. RNAcentral's name for it is "partial 16S ribosomal RNA". It matches the Rfam family "Bacterial small subunit ribosomal RNA", at positions 355 to 895 of the family's 1533-position model. The record is from RNAcentral.
UGGGGAAUUUUGGACAAUGGGGGAAACCCUGAUCCAGCCAUCCCGCGUGUGCGAUGAAGGCCUUCGGGUUGUAAAGCACUUUUGGCAGGAAAGAAACGUCGCGGGUUAAUACCCCGCGGAACUGACGGUACCUGCAGAAUAAGCACCGGCUAACUACGUGCCAGCAGCCGCGGUAAUACGUAGGGUGCAAGCGUUAAUCGGAAUUACUGGGCGUAAAGCGUGCGCAGGCGGUUCGGAAAGAAAGAUGUGAAAUCCCAGAGCUUAACUUUGGAACUGCAUUUUUAACUACCGGGCUAGAGUGUGUCAGAGGGAGGUGGAGUUCCGCGUGUAGCAGUGAAAUGCGUAGAUAUGCGGAGGAACACCGAUGGCGAAGGCAGCCUCCUGGGAUAACACUGACGCUCAUGCACGAAAGCGUGGGGAGCAAACAGGAUUAGAUACCCUGGUAGUCCACGCCCUAAACGAUGUCAACUAGCUGUUGGGGUCUUCGGACCUUGGUAGCGCAGCUAACGCGUGAAGUUGACCGCCUGGGGAGUACGGUCGCAAGAUU